GACAGAGACCUCAAGCGUUAUCCGGAAUCAUUGGGCGUAAAGCGUACCGAUAGGUGGUUUAGAAAGUUUUGGGUAAAAGCCAGAAGCUCAACUUCUGAGUUUGCUCAAAAUACUUCUCAACUAGAGGGGCAAAGAGGUCCUUGGAACGAACGGUGUAGUAGUGAAAUGCGUUGAUAUCGUUCGGAACACCGAACGCGAAGGCAGAGGACUGGGUGCCACCUGACACUACUAGGACGAAAGCGUGGGGAGCGAAUGGG
Molecule: ribosomal RNA, 257 nt
Filed under: uncultured bacterium
Lineage: Bacteria
Description: partial 16S ribosomal RNA
Rfam family: Bacterial small subunit ribosomal RNA
Source: RNAcentral